Molecule: ribosomal RNA, 450 nt
Filed under: uncultured bacterium
Lineage: Bacteria
Description: partial 16S ribosomal RNA
Rfam family: Bacterial small subunit ribosomal RNA
Source: RNAcentral
GUGGGGAAUUUUGGACAAUGGGCGCAAGCCUGAUCCAGCCAUGCCGCGUGCAGGAUGAAGGCCUUCGGGUUGUAAACUGCUUUUGUACGGAACGAAAAAGCUCUCUCUAAUACAGGGGGUGAAUGACGGUACCGUAAGAAUAAGCACCGGCUAACUACGUGCCAGCAGCCGCGGUAAUACGUAGGGUGCAAGCGUUAAUCGGAAUUACUGGGCGUAAAGCGUGCGCAGGCGGUUAUGUAAGACAGAGGUGAAAUCCCCGGGCUCAACCUGGGAACUGCCGUUGUGACUGCAUAGCUGGAGUGCGGCAGAGGGGGAUGGAAUUCCGCGUGUAGCAGUGAAAUGCGUAGAUAUGCGGAGGAACACCGAUGGCGAAGGCAAUCCCCUGGGCCUGCACUGACGCUCAUGCACGAAAGCGUGGGGAGCAAACAGGAUUAGAAACCCUUGUAGUCC